This 213-nucleotide long non-coding RNA is filed under the name Musa acuminata (dwarf banana). RNAcentral describes it as "long non-coding RNA (MACU_LNC003419)". The record is from RNAcentral. Lineage: Eukaryota; Viridiplantae; Streptophyta; Magnoliopsida; Zingiberales; Musaceae.
UCUACCUUAGAUUCUUCUGGGGUUCUGUGAAAAUGAAAAAAAUUUUCCGCCUUAGAGAUCCAACUAGUCGGAUCUCCAUCUUUCCAUCUCGGAAAUUCCACAUUCAUGUGUGAGUAGUUUAUGUCACAAUCUUGGGCCUCAUUUCUUGUAUUUUCUGAUCUAUGCAACGUAGAACUUGAGCUCCUAUCUUGUUGAAAUUUGUUGAGGCUCUCC